ACGAAGGGUGCAAGCGUUACUCGGAAUUACUGGGCGUAAAGGGCGCGUAGGCGGCAAUUCAAGUCAGCUGUGAAAUCUCCGGGCUUAACUCGGAACGGUCAGCUGAUACUGUCUUGCUAGAGUACAGAAGGGGCAAUCGGAAUUCUUGGUGUAGCGGUGAAAUGCGUAGAUAUCAAGAGGAACACCUGAGGUGAAGACGGGUUGCUGGGCUGAUACUGACGCUGAGGCGCGAAAGCUAGGGUAGCAAACGGGA
This 253-nucleotide ribosomal RNA is filed under the name uncultured prokaryote. RNAcentral describes it as "partial 16S ribosomal RNA". It matches the Rfam family "Bacterial small subunit ribosomal RNA", at positions 525 to 777 of the family's 1533-position model. The record is from RNAcentral.